Molecule: ribosomal RNA, 427 nt
Filed under: uncultured bacterium
Lineage: Bacteria
Description: partial 16S ribosomal RNA
Rfam family: Bacterial small subunit ribosomal RNA
Source: RNAcentral
UGGGGAAUAUUGCACAAUGGGCGCAAGCCUGAUGCAGCCAUGCCGCGUGUAUGAAGAAGGCCUUCGGGUUGUAAAGUACUUUCAGCGGGGAGGAAGGUGUUGAGGUUAAUAACCUCAGCAAUUGACGUUACCCGCAGAAGAAGCACCGGCUAACUCCGUGCCAGCAGCCGCGGUAAUACGGAGGGUGCAAGCGUUAAUCGGAAUUACUGGGCGUAAAGCGCACGCAGGCGGUCUGUCAAGUCGGAUGUGAAAUCCCCGGGCUCAACCUGGGAACUGCAUUCGAAACUGGCAGGCUAGAGUCUUGUAGAGGGGGGUAGAAUUCCAGGUGUAGCGGUGAAAUGCGUAGAGAUCUGGAGGAAUACCGGUGGCGAAGGCGGCCCCCUGGACAAAGACUAACGCUCAGGUGCGAAAGCGUGGGGAGCAAACA